Molecule: ribosomal RNA, 466 nt
Filed under: uncultured bacterium
Lineage: Bacteria
Description: bacterial SSU rRNA
Rfam family: Bacterial small subunit ribosomal RNA
Source: RNAcentral
UGGGCUUGACAUCCCACGAACCUGUGAAAGCAGGCCUUCUGGGCAACCAGGCAGGGAGACAGGUGGUGCAUGGCUGUCGUCAGCUCGUGUCGUGAGAUGUUGGGUUAAGUCCCGCAACGAGCGCAACCCUCGUCCUCUGUUGCCAUCAGGUUACGCUGGCACUCUGAGGAGACUGCCGGUGACAAACCGGAGGAAGGUGGGGAUGACGUCAAGUCAGCAUGGCCUUUAUGUCUGGGGCUACACACGUGCUACAAUGGCCGGUACAAAGGGUUGCCAAGCCGCGAGGCGGAGCGAAUCCCAAAAAACCGGUCCCAGUUCGGAUCGGAUGUCUGCAACUCGACUCCGUGAAGCCGGAAUCGCUAGUAACCGUGGAUCAGCCACGCCACGGUGAAUACGUUCCCGGGCCUUGUACACACCGCCCGUCAAGUCACGAAAGCUGGCUGUACUCGAAGUCGCUGAGAAUCUC